Molecule: long non-coding RNA, 918 nt
Filed under: Musa acuminata (dwarf banana)
Lineage: Eukaryota; Viridiplantae; Streptophyta; Magnoliopsida; Zingiberales; Musaceae
Description: long non-coding RNA (MACU_LNC003976)
Source: RNAcentral
AUAGAUUAGAUUCUUAAAUGAAUGGAGCAUAUUCCAUGAAGAACUAGAGAGAACCUGAGUAGCUUGGUUACUGUGUCUUUGUCAAAUGUGGUAAACACUUUGAAAACUUCUUAGCAACAAAUAGCUUGACCUGGAGCCGGAGUCAUGGCCCAGUGAUUCUGAGCUUUGUCGACUUGUCUUGGUUAAAGUUAGGUAGAGAACCUUAUGUCUUGGUUUAAUUUAGUUGGAAGAACUACAUUUAUCAAUCUGAUGAAUGCAUUGGCCUCUUGCAAUUGGGUGUUAAGCACUGAAUCACAGGGUGGUGAACUAAACGCUGGGAGCAAAUCAAACCAGGUUUGUGGGAUCAACAGAUUACUGAUUAUCUGACUUCCUGCAGUUGAAAUUUAUUUCUUAGCUUGCAUAAUGAUGAUUAUAUCAUUCUUCUAUUAACUUCAAAUCUAGUAUCAUACAUCUUUCAUUUAUUUCUUGAAUGUUCAUGUGGUGGCUAACUGAGACAGUCAAUGUUUGAUGACGUUUAUCUUUGUGGCCUGCACUGAGUUUCUAGGCUUUUAUGAGGGGCUACCAUCCUAGUUUGAUGAAUAUAAAGUAUGAUAAUGAUUAUAUCUCUUUCAUGUAAAAUCCUGCCCAUGAUUUGGGCUUACUGCUACUGUUUGCAUGACUUUUAUGUACGAUCAUGUAUGUAACAUGGAGAAGUUAGUUCCUAGCUAAAUGGCUUGUUGAAACUUGAAAUGUUGACAUUCUGUUCAGCAUGCUUCUGCCUGAAUACAGUACUAAAGUGUAGAUAAGGUUCUUGUUCAGAACUACUUCUGAAAUCUCCCUCAUGCAGAAGUCAUCUUCCAUUUCAAAGUAAAAGGACAAGAAAGUAUAGUUUGCCUCAGGAGUGGGAUGGAUUUUGGAAAUUAAUCCUUGCAAUGUCAC